RNAcentral lists this ribosomal RNA (253 nucleotides) under uncultured bacterium. RNAcentral's name for it is "partial 16S ribosomal RNA". It matches the Rfam family "Bacterial small subunit ribosomal RNA", at positions 524 to 776 of the family's 1533-position model. The record is from RNAcentral.
UACGUAGGUGGCAAGCGUUGUCCGGAAUUAUUGGGCGUAAAGCGCGCGCAGGCGGUCUCUUAAGUCUGAUGUGAAAUCCCGUGGCUUAACCACGGGCGGUCAUUGGAAACUGGGGGACUUGAGUGCAGAAGAGAAGAGCGGAAUUCCACGUGUAGCGGUGAAAUGCGUAGAGAUGUGGAGGAACACCAGUGGCGAAGGCGGCUCUUUGGGACGGUACUGACGCUGAGACGCGAAAGCGUGGGGAGCGAACAGG